CAGCUGCCUCCUCCAUCUCAUGUUUACCGCAGGUCUUGAUUGUCUCAUUUUCUCUUGUGCUUAAGCUAAGCUCAGGUUGUUUUGUUCAUUGUGGCCUUAGAGCAAAAGGCUGUACUAUACACAAACAGACACACCAUAUAACCUGGCUGUGUGGUAGGCUACAUCUAGACUUGUGUAAGGAAAGUCUUGUGAUGUUUGCAUGAGAACAAAGUCACCCAAUGCUGCAUUCCCCAGAAAAUCCCCUUAGUUCAGUGAUGCAUAACUAUAUUUCUAAGGCCUUCUUUUUCUCUAUUUUUGCAGGUACAAGAUGAGAAAAGCUAAAGGAAAUGAAUGUUCUUCCCUCAGGCCAUGGGAAGCACCCCAACUGGAAGAGCCAACAUGCUAACAGUCAGAUGUGGGUGAAGGGAACUCUGGAAGGGACCAGCACCACAAUCAUUGUCAUGGUUUUGCUCUUUUCUUAAAGCUGACAUGCACACAGGUUUUUGUUUGAGGGCAAAAAAAGAGGAGCUACCCGAAUUAUUUAAAACUUUGCUUUUGCAGACAACGAAGAUAUUAAAAGUUUAAAGAAUGAAGAGUCUGAGCCAGGCACGGUGGCGCACGCCUGCAAUCCCAGCAGCUCAGGAGGCUGAGGCAGGAGGAUCAUGGGUUCAAAGCCAGCCUCAGCAAAAGCAAAGCACUAAGCAACUCAGUGAAACCCUGUCUCUAAAUAAAAUACAAAAAAGAGCUGGGGAUAUGGCUCAGUGGUAAAGUGCCCCUAAAUUCAAUCCUUGAUACCAAAAAAGGGGAAAAAAAAAGAAGAAGAAGAAGAGUCUCAAAAAAUAAGUUUGACCAAGAUAAUGAGUCUGGGCAUCUAAGUAACUAAGAAAUCAUUUCCAUUCCAUACUUACAAGAGGUUGAUCAGCCAUGAUGCUUUCUCUGCUCAUGUAUUCCCACUACCAGGACAAAUGAGGCCAGUUUCUUCUCUCCUAAGUUCUUUCUCAAAAAUAGUGGGAAAGGGCCAGGUGCAGUGGCACAAGGUUGUAAUCCCAAGUUAUCCAGGAGGCUGAGGAAGGAGGAUCACAAGUUUGAGGCCAGUGUGGGCAACUUAGAGAAAGACCCUGUUUCAAAAAUAAAACAAUCUGGGGGUGUAGCUCAGUGUAUAGUAUCCCUGGGUUCAAUCCCCAGUAACACACACACACACACACACACACAAAAUGUGGGGCAGAGAGGAAGAUAUGGAAUUGUUUGUGUUUGCUAUAUCAGCACAAACCUGGGAGGACAAACCUGAGAGGAUAUGCAAGAAACUAACAAUGCUUUGAACUUAAGGUGGAUGCGGAAGUGGUAGAUGGGGACAGAUUUCUU
This 1341-nucleotide long non-coding RNA is filed under the name Marmota monax (woodchuck). Lineage: Eukaryota; Metazoa; Chordata; Mammalia; Rodentia; Sciuridae. The record is from RNAcentral.